Long non-coding RNA from Silurus meridionalis, 2607 nucleotides. RefSeq lists it as uncharacterized. NCBI's taxonomy places the organism in Eukaryota, Metazoa, Chordata, Actinopteri, Siluriformes, Siluridae. The transcript has 3 exons. The record is from RefSeq and is a predicted model, not a curated record.
UAGACAGACAGAUUGCUGAGAGUAGGGAAAGCUUGUGAUUUACUUGUGUUGUUGCUGAAGGCAUGCUUGUCUUGUUGUCUCAAGCUGCUGUAGUAGAACAAGCCAAUGCUACAUGUGGGAGUAAGCCUACAAUGGACUGCGCCUUCUUCGAGCAGCAUAUAAUCUACUGCUUUAGCACGAUGUGAAAUGUAACCUGCUCGCAAUCCUGUUAUGAGGAUUUUUGAUUGUUGAAAAAAAAAAAGACAGAUGAAAUUCCUCGACCCACUCACACUCGGCUUGCCUUUCUGAGGAGCCUUGACUUUGAUACAUUAUCAAGUUCAAGAGAAUGAUUCUCCUCAUAUCGGCUUACAGUCAUGCCGAUGGAAGCUUCGCCAAAUUCUGAGCAAGUCGGUUCUUGCAGUAUAUGUCGUAAAGGGAUAUCAAUCACAUAGAGGGGAUGGUGAAAGAUCCAGGCUCUUGCCAUUGUUUCCAUUGUUGGGAAAUACCUGUUUUUCAUGUUCUGAUGACCGCUUUCCUCAUUCAGAGCAAAAGCCAUGACUUCCUGCCAUCUGGCAGAGCUGUGAAACAGAUGCUGGGAGAAGCAUUAACAAAAGAGAGAGAAGCACUUCUGACCGUGAGCCCCUUUGCUUGGCAAGUCCUGAAGAAUGCAAAGGCACACUUCAGCUGGCCGGGCAUUAAUGACAGAAGAAGCUGGGAGGAGACGGGAUCACAACAGCAUCAGCGUUGGUAAUCAUCAGCAGAAGAUGAAAUGUGUGCUUUGACAGCAUGGCGAGCAUGUGGUCAGAUCCAGAUAUUAUGAGAACGCAGUGAUGACAUCUGGAUCCAACACAAUCCCACUUUGGAGCAGAGUGUAGUGCAGAGGCUUAUGGGUUGUAGCACUGUGACCUUUCUGUGCACUUCAUUAAAACAAAACGAAGGACUUUCAUUUAAGGAUUUUUUUUGCAUGCGAAACCUCCUUUCCUGACCCCUCAGCCUACAUGUAAGCUUCCGGUAGAAAAAAAAAGAGGUUUAUGUUUUGGUUAGUGGAACUCAAAUUGGAAAGAUCUGUCCAUCUGCAGAGAAGUGAAUGAACCUGCAGCCUAAACACUGACCUUGUCCUAGAGCAGGGAUCCCCAACCACCAGGCCAAGGACCAGUACCAGGCUGUGGAUCAUUUGGGUACUGGGCCAGACAGAAAGAAUAAAAACUUACAAUUAAAAUGUUGUAUAUCUAUAUUAUUAACUUCUUCAUAUUUAAAUUAUUUUAUUCCGCAACUUAUAGCAUUUACAGUUUUUUUUCUAUGCAUCGAUAAAUUAAACUCCCACUGACUCUGUAUGUGGUGAAUCGAGUUACAUUUAUAUUAUAUAUGUAAUAAUUAAAUGAAUAAUUAAAUCAUCUGAUAUAAUACACACAUUAUUGUGUUUAGUUAUGCGCGUGCCCCACACCCGUCCGUGGAAGAAAUUGUCUUGCGUGAAACUGGUCCAAGGUGCAAAAUGUUUGGGGAGUGCUGUCCUGAAGCAGAUGGCCAUCACUGAGUAUUAUUUGGUCAAAUUUAGGCCUGAAUCGGUGGAAAGAUGGGAUCAGAACUAUAUUUAUAACAACGGUCCCAAAUUGUAUGUUAGAUGAUGGUUGAGUCUGAAAACACACAGGCUGUCCGGUUGGCUGAUGGCGUGUGAUUGGCUUCGGACGGCGCGUUUUAGCGACACUUUUGUAUUGUAAUGGAGAAGUAACGUGGCCGCGUGACGUCCCUUCAAAUUUAUGGUGAUUUUCAACCUCAGUGUGCGGUGAUGCACAGAGAGAGAGAGAGAGAGAGAGAGAGAGAGAGAGAGAGAGAGCUGGCAGGAGAAGAGCUGAAUCAAAUGAAAUCUGAAAUACCACACACGCGCGAUGCUGCAAGACAGGCAAAGGCGGAGAAAAUGUGGAGUUAAAUAUCAUAUCAAAUAAUCAUGUUUUUAAAAGAAAUCAUAUUAAGGUUGUUAAGAGGUGCGGUACAAAAUGUCAGAGCCGUGUUAGUUUCACGUGCUGUCUCGUAGAUGCGAAGCGACGAGCCGACAGCGCGCGCGCUCGCUCGUUCUCUCUCUCUCUCUCUCUCACACACACACACACACACACACACACACACACACACACUCUCUCUCUCUCUCUCUCUCUCUCUCUCUUUCUCACUCACUCAGGGGUAUUUCCUUCCACGGAGAACAAGGUAGGGGCGGGCACGAGUCCGAGGCGUUUCGCCAAUCUCCUCACAAAAGGAGGAGCUUAAUGAUGCUUUUGUAGCCAAUAGAAGCUUUGGGACAAUCUCACACCCCACGUGGGACAGAAAUCCUGUGCGUAUGAACGGACAGGCAUUGAGUCCACUCUAGCCAAUCAUUGAGGAGCAAAGUGUUAAUCUCAACCCGGAUUGGUCGGCGAUUUCUUGCGGCUGUCUAUUCAUCUUAAUGUGCUCGACUUUUAACCCAUUCCUCCCUAACAUUUGGGUUUGCCUAUUUUCACUUUCUUAAAUAUUAUGCUUCAUAUGACUAUUAUUGUAAUGUAUUUGACUGAUAUAUUAUAUACAUUAUAAAUUAUAAUUCAAUAUACAAUAGUAUAAAGAAGAGCAGAAUCAAAAUAUAGUCUCAAAAUAACCUUAAUG